Spinacia oleracea (spinach) is the source of this 1531-nucleotide long non-coding RNA. RefSeq lists it as uncharacterized. The transcript is spliced from 3 exons. NCBI's taxonomy places the organism in Eukaryota, Viridiplantae, Streptophyta, Magnoliopsida, Caryophyllales, Amaranthaceae. The record is from RefSeq and is a predicted model, not a curated record.
CAAAGCAAAAACCAAGUUUGUUUCUUCCACUUUAUCCUUUACAAAUUCAACAAUUUCAGAAAACAAUUUCAACACAAGAGACCAAUAUCACUUCCCUUUUCUCUCUUCUCUGAUUCAAGCAAUCAGCCACCAACAUCUUAUUCACCAUUGAAUUUCAAGAUCAAAACAAUAGAGUUUAUUACCAUUUUAUUUUCUCUUUGAAUAAACUGCAAAUCUCAGCCAUGGAGCCACCCUCUUCGCCCCUUUUUCCGGCAUAAUGCCGCCUGCAAACCACCCCUUUUGUCGCCUGUAACCACCGCACCACCACCUCCUUAUUUCCCGACCGUCGCAAACAACCCACCACCACCACGCACCUCCCCUGUCUCCCUCGCCCUUGCGCCCAACUCCCUGCCUCCCUCCUCACUCGACCCCCUGCCUUCGCGCCCAGCCAGCACGGUGGUGCUGCUGCGCUGGCGACGCUCCACCCCUUUCCUCCUCCCUGGUGCAGCGCCACCCAGACACGCCUCCCCUAAACCCACCGGAAAACCGUUGCAGUCUCCUCCCAUAACCACCCACGCCAUCGCACAGUCCCUCCCUCUUUGCGCAAACCACCGUCGCACAACCACGACCAUUACCGUCGCUUUAUUGCGCCACCGUGCCUCCCAGGCGUCAGCCUCCACCUCCGUUCCCCUCCCCCUCUUUCUCUUCGUCCGUUUCCCUCCUCCCUCGUGCCCUGCCCUCCUCUGUUCUUGCUCGAGUUUCCCAGGAAACAAGUUCCAGAUUGGAACUGUUUUCUUAUUCCCCAUACCAAGCCCAAAAUUGUUGGCCCAAAUAGCUCAAAAGUCGAACUCGGAGCUCAGGACGAACGAACCAAGGAAAAAGGCUUAGCAAAUCGUGGAAUUGAGGUACUGCUGGGGACCACAGAAACGAGUAGUGGCGAGGAUUUCACUAUUACCAAAGCUCACCUAAGUUAAUGUUAAGUUAUAACAAGUUUAAGUAAAGAUUCUUGAUUAAGUUACGUACUUUUUUUAAGGAAUUAAUAAGAAUUAUUAUGUUAAUUUUGGAAUUUAAUAGCUUAAUAUUGAUGGUUGCCUUGUAAUUCCCAAGAGGGAGUUACGGCAGUAAUGUCCCGACCAAAUUAGGUUAAUUCCGCUGCUAAUUAUGCUUUAAUAAGUGAUUUAGAGGUCGGGGCGUUACAGAAACAGAAAUUUAGGUAUGCUGAUUAUGGAACAAAAUAGCCAUUAAGUUCCAGCCUUGAAGGACUUAAAACAAACUAGAUGACCCUACAACUAAUGUAGCAUUGCCAUGCUUCAUUUUUCACUUGUAGGCCAUUAGUGUAGCCUAGCUUCCAUUAUUUGAGUUAUUACCGAAGUAAGAACCUCAAGCGGUAUAUGAUACCAAGGAAGUUAGAUUGCUAGGUCACUUCUCUUUAAACAUAAACUUAUAGGUAGAACCGGAAUCGUAAAUUCCUUUCAUUUGUUCCUUUGUUUUCCUAUUUCUUGUACCUUUCUUAUAGUCUUAAGAAUUGAAUUCUAUAGUGUUGACUUUUAUA